GGUCCCGGUGUCGUCACACUGGUGUCACACUGUCACGCUAUGGGUCCCGGUGUCACACUGGGUGCUAUGGGUCCCGGUGUCACGCUGUGAUUCUAUGGGUCCCGGUGUCACACUGUCACGCUAUGGGUCUUGGUGCCACACUGGGCGCUGUGGGUCCCGGUGUCGUCACACUGGUGUCACACUGUCACGCUAUGGGUCCCGGUGUCACACUGGGUGCUAUGGGUCCCAGUGUCACACUGGGGCACUAUGGGUCCCCACUGUCCCCUCGGUGUCACACUGUCACGCUAUGGGUCCCGCUGUCACACUGACGCUGUGGGUCCCAGUGUCACAUCGGUGCCACGCUGUGAUUCUGUGGGUCCUGGUGUCACACUGGGCGCUGUGGGUCCCGGUGUCGUCACACUGGUGUCACACUGUCACGCUAUGGGUCUUGGUGCCACACUGGGGCACUGUGGGUCCUGGUGUCACACGGGGUGCUGUGGGUCCCUGUGUCACA
This 493-nucleotide long non-coding RNA is filed under the name Numida meleagris (helmeted guineafowl). RNAcentral describes it as "lncRNA (ENSNMEG00000002965.1)". The record is from RNAcentral. Lineage: Eukaryota; Metazoa; Chordata; Aves; Galliformes; Numididae.